Drosophila simulans is the source of this 589-nucleotide long non-coding RNA. RefSeq lists it as uncharacterized. The record is from RefSeq and is a predicted model, not a curated record. The transcript is spliced from 3 exons. Lineage: Eukaryota; Metazoa; Arthropoda; Insecta; Diptera; Drosophilidae.
CACGGAGAGGCAGCGCACUCUUUGCAAAACUUGGAAGUUGGGCAGCAGCUGACUGAUGAGCGCCGUUGGCUUUAAAUGGAGCAAGCGGCACCUCCGUAUAUACCCGGAAUCAUUAUGCUGGCCAAUUCCGAGCGCAGAUUUUGAAACAAAGCGAAAACCACCAUUUUAACACUCCAUAUAUAUAGUAACUCGAGUGCAAUGCCGAUGCCAUAUUUAUAUUUUGAUUGGAUAACUUAUAUAUGUAAGUAGCUUGUUGGACUUCACAGAUUUGCCACAGAUUUUAAUCGCCUUUGAUUUAUUGUUAUAAACUGUAGGGGAUUGUACCUUUCGGAGACCGGAGCCAGUGUCCGUUAAAGAUAAAAUGUCACGGUUUCCUUCAUAAAAUUAAUUCUGAAAGAAAAAAUGGAACCCGUGGCUCCUUACGCUCGCCUGACCUAACGUCAUUUUAAUUUCCAUCGAGGAGUCGAAAGUGUCACUGGCUUUGUGGUAGUCUGACAGUUGAAAAAUGAAACGCCGGGCCGGCCGUGGUGUGGCCACAAAAACUGGCUCCGCACCAGGAUCCUCCCCCGGCUUCCUGGCGAUGGCGCCU